Molecule: ribosomal RNA, 463 nt
Filed under: uncultured bacterium
Lineage: Bacteria
Description: partial 16S ribosomal RNA
Rfam family: Bacterial small subunit ribosomal RNA
Source: RNAcentral
GACGAACGCUGGCGGCGUGCUUAACACAUGCAAGUCGAACGGAAAGGCCUUUUCGGAGGUACUCGAGUGGCGAACGGGUGAGUAACACGUGGGUGAUCUGCCCUGCACUCUGGGAUAAGCCUGGGAAACUGGGUCUAAUACCGGAUAGGACCGCACUUUAGUGUGUGUGGUGGAAAGUUUUUUCGGUGUAGGAUGAGCCCGCGGCCUAUCAGCUUGUUGGUGGGGUAAUGGCCUACCAAGGCGGCGACGGGUAGCCGGACUGAGAGGUUGGUCGGCCACAUUGGGACUGAGAUACGGCCCAGACUCCGACGGGAGGCAGCAGUGGGGAAUAUUGCACAAUGGGCGCAAGCCUGAUGCAGCGACGCCGCGGGGGGGAGGACGGCCUUCGGGUUGUAAACUCCUUUCGCCAGGGACGAAGCGCUUUGUGACGGUACCUGGAGAAGAAGCACCGGCUAACUACGUG